This is a long non-coding RNA of Bubalus bubalis (water buffalo), 307 nucleotides long. RefSeq lists it as uncharacterized. The transcript has 3 exons. NCBI's taxonomy places the organism in Eukaryota, Metazoa, Chordata, Mammalia, Artiodactyla, Bovidae. The record is from RefSeq and is a predicted model, not a curated record.
CUUGGAAAUUGGCAUAACGUGUAUCUCUUCUUUGCUACUCUAUUUGCGGAUGACGCAGAAUUCCAAGAUAUUUGGGAGUUAAGCAUUCCUCAAAGCUACUAGGAGGUGGCACAAUUGAUCCAUCUGCAUCCCCUGCCAGGAUCUACUCUGGGACCAACAGCCUACCAUGAGAGCUUGGUGAUGAAGAUCAUGUUUUGAUAUAAGGCAGCUGAAAUGUCUAUGGAAAACCUACUGGCUUUGUGACCAGAGACAUCAGAGGACAGAAGACAGGGCAGUUACAGCUGAAGGAAAGUGAGGAUUCAUCCCA